This 76-nucleotide small RNA is filed under the name Xanthomonas phaseoli pv. dieffenbachiae. RNAcentral's name for it is "sX9 sRNA". It matches the Rfam family "Xanthomonas sRNA sX9". The record is from RNAcentral. RNAcentral also lists the same sequence under 1 other name. Lineage: Bacteria; Pseudomonadati; Pseudomonadota; Gammaproteobacteria; Lysobacterales; Lysobacteraceae.
AUGUAGCACUCGUACACUCCGGAUCCUGUGCGCCGUCCGCACCCACCUGACAACUGCUCGCGACGUUUUGUUAGCC